Molecule: ribosomal RNA, 449 nt
Filed under: uncultured bacterium
Lineage: Bacteria
Description: partial 16S ribosomal RNA
Rfam family: Bacterial small subunit ribosomal RNA
Source: RNAcentral
AAUGAACGCUGGCGGCAUGCCUAACACAUGCAAGUCGAACGAAGGCUUCGGCCUUAGUGGCGCACGGGUGCGUAACGCGUGGGAAUCUGCCCUCAGGUUCGGAAUAACAGCGAGAAAUUGCUGCUAAUACCGGAUGAUAUCGCGAGAUCAAAGAUUUAUCGCCUGAGGAUGAGCCCGCGUAGGAUUAGCUAGUUGGUGGGGUAAAGGCGCACCAAGGCGACGAUCCUUAGCUGGUCUGAGAGGAUGAUCAGCCACACUGGGACUGAGACACGGCCCAGACUCCUACGGGAGGCAGCAGGGGGGAAAAUUGGACAAUGGGCGAAAGCCUGAUCCAGCAAUGCCGCGUGAGUGAUGAAGGCCUUAGGGUUGUAAAGCUCUUUUACCCGGGAUGAUAAUGACAGUACCGGGAGAAUAAGCUCCGGCUAACUCCGUGCCAGCAGCCGCAGUAA